UACGUAGGGGGCAAGCGUUAUCCGGGUUUACUGGGUGUAAAGGGGGCGUAGACGGCGAUGCAAGUCUGAAGUGAAAGGCGGGGGCCCAACCCCCGGACUGCUUUGGAAACUGUAUAGCUGGAGUGCAGGAGAGGUAAGUGGAAUUCCUAGUGUAGCGGUGAAAUGCGUAGAUAUUAGGAGGAACACCAGUGGCGAAGGCGGCUUACUGGACUGUAACUGACGUUGAGGCUCGAAAGCGUGGGGAGCAAACAGG
Molecule: ribosomal RNA, 253 nt
Filed under: uncultured bacterium
Lineage: Bacteria
Description: partial 16S ribosomal RNA
Rfam family: Bacterial small subunit ribosomal RNA
Source: RNAcentral